RNAcentral lists this RNase P RNA (481 nucleotides) under Hymenobacter endophyticus. RNAcentral's name for it is "RNase P RNA component class A". It matches the Rfam family "Bacterial RNase P class A". From Rfam's summary of the family: Ribonuclease P (RNase P) is a ubiquitous endoribonuclease, found in archaea, bacteria and eukarya as well as chloroplasts and mitochondria. Lineage: Bacteria; Pseudomonadati; Bacteroidota; Cytophagia; Cytophagales; Hymenobacteraceae. The record is from RNAcentral.
GUGAUGGGUCGCCCCACCGCGGCGCUGCAAGGCGACGAGGAAAGUCCGGGCAACGCAGAGCACCCUGCUUCCUAACGGGAAGGACUGGGCGGCGUAAAGCUUCUCAGGACAGCCAGUGCCACAGAAAACUACCGCCAAGCGGUGGAUGAGUAAGUGAGCGAAUGAGUGAAGCAUUAUUUGUUCUGCGCAAGCGAAACGAAUAACUCACUCAACCACUCAUUCACUCAAUCACCUUUGGUAAGGGUGAAAAGGUGCGGUAAGAGCGCACCAGCGGCUGGGUGACCAGUCCGGCUGGGUAAACCUCAGGGGUUGAAAGACCAAAUAAGCCAGUACGUGGCCCUUCGGGGGCGCACCGGGCGGCUCGUCCGGCGCUGGCGGGUAGGUUGAUGGAGCCCGCGCGCAAGUUCGGGCCUAGAUAAAUGGUGGGGCCGCGUGCUUUCGGGCGGGCGGACAAAACCCGGCUUACAGACUCAUCACCGUC